UGGUUCUGCUAUCACUCUUGGAUGGACCUGCGGUGCAUUAGCUAGUUGGUAAGGUAACGGCUUACCAAGGCAAUGAUGCAUAGCCGAGUUGAGAGACUGAUCGGCCACAUUGGGACUGAGACACGGCCCAAACUCCUACGGGAGGCAGCAGUAGGGGAUCUUCCACAAUGGACGAAAGUCUGAUGGAGCAACGCCGCGUGAGUGAAGAAGGGUUUCGGCUCGUAAAGCUCUGUUGGUAGUGAAGAAAGAUAGAGGUAGUAACUGGCCUUUAUUUGACGGUAAUUACUUAGAAAGUCACGGCUAACUACGUGCCAACAGCCGCGGUAAUACGUAGGUGGCAAGCGUUGUCCGGAUUUAUUGGGCGUAAAGCGAGUGCAGGCGGUUCAAUAAGUCUGAUGUGAAAGCCUUCGGCUCAACCGGAGAAUUGCAUCAAAAACUGUUGAACUUGAGUGCAGAAGAGGAGAGUGGAGCUCCAUGUGUAGCGGUGGAAUGCGUAGAUAUAUGGAAGAACACCAGUGGCAAAGGCGGCUCUCUGGUCUGCAACUGA
Molecule: ribosomal RNA, 547 nt
Filed under: uncultured bacterium
Lineage: Bacteria
Description: bacterial SSU rRNA
Rfam family: Bacterial small subunit ribosomal RNA
Source: RNAcentral